RNAcentral lists this ribosomal RNA (466 nucleotides) under uncultured bacterium. RNAcentral's name for it is "bacterial SSU rRNA". It matches the Rfam family "Bacterial small subunit ribosomal RNA", at positions 329 to 792 of the family's 1533-position model. The record is from RNAcentral.
UUCCAGACUCCUACGGGAGGCAGCAGUGAGGAAUAUUGGUCAAUGGGCGCGAGCCUGAACCAGCCAAGUCGCGUGAGGGAUGACGGUCCUACGGAUUGUAAACCUCUUUUGCCGGGGAGCAAGCGUGCGUUCGUGAACGCGCGUCGAGAGUACCCGGAGAAAAAGCAUCGGCUAACUCCGUGCCAGCAGCCGCGGUAAUACGGAGGAUGCGAGCGUUAUCCGGAUUUAUUGGGUUUAAAGGGUGCGUAGGCGGGCUGUUAAGUCAGCGGUAAAAUGUCGGGGCUCAACCCCGGCCUGCCGUUGAAACUGGCGGCCUCGAGUGGGCGAGAAGUAUGCGGAAUGCGUGGUGUAGCGGUGAAAUGCAUAGAUAUCACGCAGAACUCCGAUUGCGAAGGCAGCAUACCGGCGCCCUACUGACGCUGAGGCACGAAAGCGUGGGUAUCGAACAGGAUUAGAUACCCUAGUA